GACGAACGCUGGCGGCGUGCUUAACACAUGCAAGUCGAACGGAAAGGCCCUGCUUUUGUGGGGUGCUCGAGUGGCGAACGGGUGAGUAACACGUGAGUAACCUGCCCUUGACUUUGGGAUAACUUCAGGAAACUGGGGCUAAUACCGGAUAGGAGCUCCUGCUGCAUGGUGGGGGUUGGAAAGUUUCGGCGGUUGGGGAUGGACUCGCGGCUUAUCAGCUUGUUGGUGGGGUAGUGGCUUACCAAGGCUUUGACGGGUAGCCGGCCUGAGAGGGUGACCGGCAAAAUUGGGACGGGGAUACGCCCAGACUCCUACGGGAGGCAGCAGUGGGGAAUAUUGCACAAUGGGCGGAAGCCUGAUGCAGCAACGCCGCGUGCGGGAUGACGGCCUUCGGGUUGUAAACCGCUUUCGCCUGCGACGAAGCGUGAGUGACGGUAAUGGGUAAAGAAGCACCGGCUAACUACGUG
RNAcentral lists this ribosomal RNA (467 nucleotides) under uncultured bacterium. RNAcentral's name for it is "partial 16S ribosomal RNA". It matches the Rfam family "Bacterial small subunit ribosomal RNA", at positions 28 to 507 of the family's 1533-position model. The record is from RNAcentral.